RNAcentral lists this ribosomal RNA (688 nucleotides) under Fusarium oxysporum f. sp. lycopersici. RNAcentral describes it as "eukaryotic LSU rRNA". The stretch from base 379 to 532 matches the Rfam family "5.8S ribosomal RNA". The record is from RNAcentral. Lineage: Eukaryota; Fungi; Ascomycota; Sordariomycetes; Hypocreales; Nectriaceae.
UCUUCAUCGAUGCCAGAACCAAGAGAUCCGUUGUUGAAAGUUUUGAUAUAUUUAUGUUUUACUCAGAAGUUACAUAUAGAAACAGAGUUUAGGGGUCCUCUGGCGGGCCGUCCCGUUUUACCGGGAGCGGGCUGAUCCGCCGAGGCAACAAGUGGUAUGUUCACAGGGGUUUGGGAGUUGUAAACUCGGUAAUGAUCCCUUUCCGUAGGCGACCUGCGGAGGGAUCAUUACCGAGUUUACAACUCCCAAACCCCUGUGAACAUACCACUUGUUGCCUCGGCGGAUCAGCCCGCUCCCGGUAAAACGGGACGGCCCGCCAGAGGACCCCUAAACUCUGUUUCUAUAUGUAACUUCUGAGUAAAACCAUAAAUAAAUCAAAACUUUCAACAACGGAUCUCUUGGUUCUGGCAUCGAUGAAGAACGCAGCAAAAUGCGAUAAGUAAUGUGAAUUGCAGAAUUCAGUGAAUCAUCGAAUCUUUGAACGCACAUUGCGCCUGCCAGUAUUCUGGCGGGCAUGCCUGUUCGAGCGUCAUUUCAACCCUCAAGCACAGCUUGGUGUUGGGACUCGCGUUAAUUCGCGUUCCCCAAAUUGAUUGGCGGUCACGUCGAGCUUCCAUAGCGUAGUAGUAAAACCCUCGUUACUGGUAAUCGUCGCGGCCACGCCGUUAAACCCCAACUUCUGAAUGUG